Molecule: long non-coding RNA, 226 nt
Filed under: Olea europaea (common olive)
Lineage: Eukaryota; Viridiplantae; Streptophyta; Magnoliopsida; Lamiales; Oleaceae
Description: long non-coding RNA (OEUR_LNC001682)
Source: RNAcentral
UUAUGUGACCAACAAGAGGAAUUUAUUUUUGCCACCAUUCUCUUCAUCAAUAAAAUUCAGAAGCACAAUCACCAAAGUUUCCGAUUUCAUGGGUUUUGAUUUGGGGGCCUUUGGGAUUCUGGGGUUCGAUAGUUGGAACAGCUCGUGGGUGAGAGUUUCUCAGCAAGAAUUUUGGAGUUCUCUGCUAGUUGGAUGAUUUUGAAAUGAUUUGGGGGUUUGAGAUUUG